AGAGUUUGAUUCUGGCUCAGGAUGAACGCUGGCGGCGUGCUUAACACAUGCAAGUCGAACGAAGCAGGAAGCGAAGCGCAAGCAGAGGUUCUUGACUGAGUGGCGGACGGGUGAGUAACGCGUGGAUAACCUGCCUUUCACAGGGGGAUAACAGCUGGAAACGGCUGCUAAUACCGCAUGAGCCUCUUUUAUCGCAUGAGGAGAGAGGGAAAGAGAAAUCGGUGAGAGAUGGAUCCGCGUCCGAUUAGCUAGUUGGAGGGGUAACAGCCCACCAAGGCGACGAUCGGUAGCCGACCUGAGAGGGUGGACGGCCACAUUGGGACUGAGACACGGCCCAAACUCCUACGGGAGGCAGCAGUGGGGAAUAUUGCACAAUGGGGGAAACCCUGAUGCAGCAACGCCGCGUGAGUGAGGAAGUAUUUCGGUAUGUAAAGCUCUAUCAGCAGGGAAUAGAAAAGAAGGUACCUGAAAAAGAAGCCCCGGCUAACUACGUGCCAGCAGCCGCGGUAAUACGUAGGGGGCAAGCGUUAUCCGGAUUUACUGGGUGUAAAGGGAGCGU
This 559-nucleotide ribosomal RNA is filed under the name uncultured bacterium. RNAcentral's name for it is "bacterial SSU rRNA". It matches the Rfam family "Bacterial small subunit ribosomal RNA", at positions 8 to 572 of the family's 1533-position model. The record is from RNAcentral.